UACGGGGGGAGCAAGCGUUGUUCGGAUUUACUGGGCGUAAAGGGCGCGUAGGCGGUUCGGUAAGUCGGGUGUGAAAACUUUGGGCUCAACCCAAAGCGUGCACUCGAUACUGCCAUGACUAGAGUUCGGUAGGGGAGUGGGGAAUUCCUAGUGUAGCGGUGAAAUGCGCAGAUAUUAGGAGGAACACCGGUGGCGAAGGCGCCACUCUGGGCCGAAACUGACGCUGAGGAGCGAAAGCGUGGGUAGCAAACAGG
Molecule: ribosomal RNA, 254 nt
Filed under: uncultured bacterium
Lineage: Bacteria
Description: partial 16S ribosomal RNA
Rfam family: Bacterial small subunit ribosomal RNA
Source: RNAcentral